Molecule: long non-coding RNA, 2491 nt
Organism: Mustela lutreola (European mink)
Lineage: Eukaryota; Metazoa; Chordata; Mammalia; Carnivora; Mustelidae
Exons: 2
Source: RefSeq, a predicted model, not a curated record
CGGGCACCUGCAACGAAGACAGGCCCACACUCAGAACAGAUCUGCCUGGGUCUGACUCUCGCUCCUCUACUCAUUACACACGAGAUCUUGGGCAAGUCACUUAGGUUUUGUGCCUCAGUUUCCCCACCAGCAAGACAGGGCUAACAUCGGUCCCCAUCUUGGGGGGUGGUUAGGAAAAGUCCAUCAACCAACAGGUGCGAUGGCGGCAGCUGAGACCCCCGCCCGUGCCCUGUGAGCGCUGCGCAGAUGCCGGCCGUCCGGCACGAGCAAGAGCUCACAAAACCCAAGUGAAACCACAGACGCUCUCGUUAGUUUGGGAGAAGAGCAAGGUGGAUGGUUUUGGUCACAUUGCGACCAUGAGAAAGAAAAAAUACAAUCCUCCCCUAGCCUUCGGGGUCCGGACAAGCUCCGGCGAAGCUACUCUGCGAAGAUACGUUUAUUUCCCUCUUCCCCGAGGGGAUCUGCUCAGCCUGUCGUGGUCAGCAGCCGCGCCUGCCAACGCGCCCACUCAACGCCAUCGCCUUCCAGCAUGGUUUUAGAAACACGAGCUGGUGAAAACGGGAAGUGGAUGAAUUCUGGGCUCUUGGUCAGUGACGUUUUUGAAAAAUGGCCCACGUCAAUUAAAAAAAAAAAACAACAACUGUGUUCCCGAAGCCUGCAAAGGCCAUGUUUCAAUCUUGCCAUAACCACGAACAGUGCGUGGACCUCACACUCCUUUUCCUGGGGUUUCUGGCGUGGCACGCACGUCGGACUCCACAGUGAAGAGGGUGCGUGCCAGCCGUCCAGGGAGGUGCUGAGCGUGGAUUCCCAACACGCUCAUUACUGGGAUGUAUGAACUGGGGACGCAGCCAGCUUUGUGUCCGCGAGCCAAGGUGUUCUUCUCUCUGCGCUGCCCUGGAGAGCCAUCUCUCGGGGGCUCAUGGGCUCUGUCCUCUGCCUACUCUGUCCCCUGUCCUACUCCAUGUUCUCAACAAUGUUGGAUAAACACAUGUAAAUUUCCCACCACGCAGGAGAGGGGGGGUUUGACCCCUGGACAUAUGAAGCUGGGAGCCAGCCGAUCUGCUCAGUGCAGGAGGAAAAUAUUAGACCGUCUUGAUUUUAAAACACUCAGCCUUUAAGAUCUCUUUCUGAUGUGUAGGACAUAGUGCAUACGCUUCUCAGUCUGCUCCGGUAACCUACUAUCUGCCCGGCACUGUCCCAGACACUGGGGAAGUCGCUGUGAACCACGAUGGCAAUUAUCGCUGCCCCCAUGGGCUCCAUACAGCACCGCUCAGCUACCCACAAGCGCACACACCUACAAGUCUUCAGAGGGCGCUGAAAGCAUUUUUCCUUUUAACCCAGAAGGACUCACACACGAAAAGGUUCUGAGACCAAUGCUCGUAUCACAGAAUUAGAAUAUUUUGGUACGAUCCCACCAGUCUGGGCGGCUGAGUAAAAUAACGAGACAGGCAUUAGCCACAUCACGUGCAGAACUGCUCGCUUACACUCAGGGCCCCACCGGGACAGUGGGGACAUCUUCUGAGCAGUUGGUAACAUGCAAAUACGUGGGGAUUCCUCGAAAGGUUCGAAGGAUGUGGCUGUUUACAGAUCACAGACCGUGGCCAGUCUGGGGCUUCCGAUGGGUACGCAGGGGCGGGAGCAUCCCGGUGCCCAUGCGGAAAGGAGGGGCAGUGCUGGGGCUGCUGCCUCGAAGCCCGAUGGGGAGAGGACCGGGGUUUCUCGUGGCAUCAUCACAGACGGAAAGCAGAGCCUGCACGAGAAAACCUUCCCGGCAAGUUCACGACUGUCCGGAACAAGAGAGGGCCCGUGCGAUGCAGACAUACGAACCUUUAGUGAGGGGGUGGUGAGGGAAGUAGGCCGGGGGGCCUGGGGGGCCGCGGUCACCCGCUUCUCCCUGGAGAAAGAGAAGAGAGCAGAAGAAUGGGGGACCCGCCUUGUGGCAUUCUGGAACGUUCUGUGAAUUUGCAGGGACUAGAGCUGACAGUGGGCCACUGGCUGGGGCCCCGUCUCCUCGGGGCCGUGGGGAAGUGAGGUCCAGGCCACCCGCGGACACGAGCCGGAGGCAGCAAGAGGCAACAGGGGUGGGCGGGGUGUGAUGCCAUGAGACCCCGAUCUAAUUCCAGCUGGAGGGCAAGACCCAAACCUUCUCGAGUCUCCCAGGGCCCCGAAGGCCUAACCACUGAACAGCCCUGUCCUCAGCAGACAGACCCCUCCCUGAGCAGGGAAGUCCCCCCCGCCCAGCUGGGUCCCCGUUACCAGACCAGCGGCACCCGACCUGGUCCCCAGGUGACUGAGUUUCUCUGCCCUGCCGGCCCACGAAUUAUUCACACAAGGUAACCGUGAUCUCCCCGGGGACUGGGGAUGCCCCGCCCUCUUGUCACCGGGAAGCCUGCUCCCACGGCCCAUUCUGUUCCCUCUGCCCUGGGCUGUGACUUCCAUGCACCCCUGUGGGGCACGCAACCUUGUGGGCCCACAACACCUGUGACUAAUA